This 85-nucleotide transfer RNA is filed under the name Alphaproteobacteria bacterium. Its description in RNAcentral is "tRNA-Leu". It matches the Rfam family "tRNA". From Rfam's summary of the family: Transfer RNA (tRNA) molecules are approximately 80 nucleotides in length. The record is from RNAcentral. RNAcentral also lists the same sequence under 1 other name. Lineage: Bacteria; Pseudomonadati; Pseudomonadota; Alphaproteobacteria.
GCCCCUGUGGUGGAAUUGGUAGACGCGCCGGAUUCAAAAUCCGGUUCCUUCGGGAGUGCGAGUUCGAGUCUCGCUGGGGGCACCA